GAAACUUCUUAAGGAGGACCGCGCGGGUUGCCGCGGCCGGCCCCGGGGUCGCCGUAGAGGUCGGCCCGUUGACCCCCAGAAAUUUCAGAGAGGCCAGCAGGACUGGAAGGAAGUUUUCCUUGAACCGCCAUGCCUUCAUUGGAACCCCCAUCUAUGCCGUGUGCUUUCCAUAGCACCUGUGGUUACUCUACAAAGUUUUUAAAAGACAGGAAAGUACAAAGGUUCAACUUCUGGGACCAUGAGGGACUAAGAAGUACGGGACCAUCUGCUUCUAACAGAACUGCUGAAAAAAACAUAGCAAUGCAUGAAAGGAAGAAAGGAGGAGCUGGGGGGGGGGGGGGGUGAGAUGAGAAGAGAGAACCCAGAAGCACCCAUCUGUGUUUGAUGUGAAAAUAAGCCCAAAUGGCUGACUGGAGUGGGAACAGGUUGUGUGGAGCUACUCAGUCUUUUUGAAUAAUCCGGUUAGCUGGUGACUUUGUGUAAGUCCUCCCUGGUUCUAG
Molecule: long non-coding RNA, 500 nt
Organism: Prionailurus viverrinus (fishing cat)
Lineage: Eukaryota; Metazoa; Chordata; Mammalia; Carnivora; Felidae
Exons: 3
Source: RefSeq, a predicted model, not a curated record